Molecule: non-coding RNA, 215 nt
Organism: Tinamus guttatus (white-throated tinamou)
Lineage: Eukaryota; Metazoa; Chordata; Aves; Tinamiformes; Tinamidae
Source: RefSeq, a predicted model, not a curated record
GUUUUUGAGAACUACAAGAAAGAGAAGGCAGAGAAUGACAAGUUACUGAAUGAACAAAAUGAGAAACUUCAGGAGCAAGUCACAGACUUAAGGUCACAAAAUGCAAAGAUAUCCACACAGCUGGAGUUUGCCUCCAAACGUUACGAAAUGCUUCAGGAUAACGUUGAAGGGUAUCGUCGAGAAAUAACAUCUUUGCAUGAGAGAAACCAGAAACU